GACGAACGCUGGCGGCGUGCUUAACACAUGCAAGUCGAACGGAAAGGCCCUGCCUUUGUGGGGUGCUCGAGUGGCGAACGGGUGAGUAACACGUGAGUAACCUGUCCCUGACCUUGGGAUAUCUUCAGGCAACUGGGGCUAAUACCGGAUAGGAGCUCCUGCUGCAUGGUGGGGGUUGGAAAGUUUCGGCGGUUGGGGAUGGACUCGCGGCCUAUCAGCUUGUUGGUGGGGUAGUGGCUUACCAAGGCUUUGACGGGUAGCCGGCCUGAGAGGGUGACCGGCCACAUUGGGACUGAGAUGCGGCCCAGACUCCUACGGGAGGCAGCAGUGGAGAAGAUUGCACAAUGGGCGGAAGCCUGAUGCAGCAACGCCACGUGCGGGAUGACGGCCUUCGGGUUGUAAACCGCUUUCGCCUGUGACGAAGCGUGAGUGACGGUAAUGGGUAAAGAAGCACCGGCUAACUACGUG
Molecule: ribosomal RNA, 468 nt
Filed under: uncultured bacterium
Lineage: Bacteria
Description: partial 16S ribosomal RNA
Rfam family: Bacterial small subunit ribosomal RNA
Source: RNAcentral